This 603-nucleotide ribosomal RNA is filed under the name uncultured bacterium. RNAcentral describes it as "bacterial SSU rRNA". It matches the Rfam family "Bacterial small subunit ribosomal RNA", at positions 335 to 938 of the family's 1533-position model. The record is from RNAcentral.
ACUCCUACGGGAGGCAGCAGUAAGGAAUAUUGGACAAUGCUCGCAAGAGUGAUCCAGCCAUGCCGCGUGCAGGAAGACAGCCCUAUGGGUCGUAAACUGCUUUUGAACUAGAGAAAACCCUCCUACGUGUAGGAGGCUGAUAGUAUAGUUAGAAUAAGCAUCGGCUAACUUCGUGCCAGCAGCCGCGGUAAGACGAAGGAUGCAAGCGUUAUCCGGAUUCAUUGGGUUUAAAGGGAGCGUAGGUGGACAGAUAAGUCAGUGGUGAAAUCUCCGAGCUUAACUCGGAAAUUGCCAUUGAUACUGUUUGUCUUGAGUACAGUUGCUGUGGGCGGAAUAUGACAUGUAGUGGUGAAAUACAUAGAGAUGUCAUAGAACACCGAUUGCGAAGGCAGCUCACAAAGCUGUAACUGACACUGAGGCUCGAAAGUGCGGGGAUCAAACAGGAUUAGAUACCCUGGUAGUCCGCACCGUAAACGAUGAUUACUCGCUGCUAGGGGGCAACCUUUAGUGGCUUAGCGAAAGCGAUAAGUAAUCCACCUGGGGAGUACGCCGGCAACGGUGAAACUCAAAGGAAUUGACGGGGGCCCGCACAAGCGGAGGAGC